UAAAUUGACUAUAGAUGAAUUGGAGCUGGUAGUGGACUAUACUAUUAAACUUGCUCUUAGAGCAGGUUCAAUAGUAUAGCCAACUACUAGCUCCAAUUCAUUUAUAAAC
RNAcentral lists this microRNA precursor (109 nucleotides) under Oryza glaberrima (African rice). RNAcentral describes it as "pre miRNA mir-75". Lineage: Eukaryota; Viridiplantae; Streptophyta; Magnoliopsida; Poales; Poaceae. The record is from RNAcentral.